RNAcentral lists this long non-coding RNA (918 nucleotides) under Anser brachyrhynchus (Pink-footed goose). Its description in RNAcentral is "lncRNA (ENSABRG00000018019.1)". The record is from RNAcentral. Lineage: Eukaryota; Metazoa; Chordata; Aves; Anseriformes; Anatidae.
UGGUUAGUGAUUUGGGCUCUGACGGGACUUCAGCAGCAGGUACCGCUCAGCCAAAAUCUGAGCAGGGAAGCAGCACUUUGGAGACAGAGUGUAUCUGAGAGGCUGUUCAGGCACCCUCCAGAGCAGGCCUGCCUCCCCUCCCAGGUAAUUUUAGCGCCUAUGGCACCACACCCCACUUGGAAGGCGAGGAUGUCAAACAGGUUGGCUUUCCCUCAGGGGAGCGGGUGGAGUAAGCGCGCGCUGGCUCCCUUCUCACUGGCUCCCCUGCUCUCCGCCUUCGCCGCCUGGGCGAUAAAUACGUUUCUUAGUGGGCAGGUGGCACCUACGGUGCUGCGCGUGGCUUUGCCAUAGUGGGGCCGUCUGCUUCUGUUACCUGUCCUGCACCAGACUCGGUUUUUGGGGACGUCUCUCUGUUCCACAGUGCUUGAGUGGGAUGGUGAGUGACCUAGUUGGACAGAGCCCCUGAUUAAAAGCGUCCCCUCAAAGCUUUGCACUGCCAACGUCUAUCGUCAUUGCCUGGAAAAAAAUCGGUGCAAUCAGAGCGCUGCAUAGACGACCAUGGGGAAAUUCAGAAGAAUCCUUCUCUUGUGCCUUGGCUUUCUUCUAGUCCACGUAAGAGGUCAACGUGACUUUGACUUAGCUGAUGCUCUUGAUCACCCGGAUGACAUAAUUACCAGGAAGCCAACAGUGAUCAGAAGACCAACACGGCCUCUGCUGAACAAUGAUCUGCAUUUAGGAGAUGCUUUUGGUGGAGGUGACAUCCCAAGACAACCUUUAUACCCACCUCUUCCACCACGACCAGGAAGCCACAGUAAUUCUGGAGGUUUUAAUGACUUAGAUCUCGUCGACGGGAAGCCCUUACCACCGCACAUAGCAGAUAAUAUUCUUCUUCAGAAAUGAAGUGGCUGGAGGAGGGGA